UGGGGAAUAUUGGACAAUGGGGGCAACCCUGAUCCAGCCAUGCCGCGUGUGUGAAGAAGGCCUUUUGGUUGUAAAGCACUUUAAGCAGUGAAGAAGACUCCAUGGUUAAUACCCAUGGACGAUGACAUUAGCUGCAGAAUAAGCACCGGCUAACUCUGUGCCAGCAGCCGCGGUAAUACAGAGGGUGCAAGCGUUAAUCGGAAUUACUGGGCGUAAAGCGAGCGUAGGUGGCUUGAUAAGUCAGAUGUGAAAGCCCCGGGCUUAACCUGGGAACGGCAUCUGAUACUGUUAGGCUAGAGUAGGUGAGAGGUAGGUAGAAUUCCAGGUGUAGCGGUGAAAUGCGUAGAGAUCUGGAGGAAUACCGAUGGCGAAGGCAGCCUUCUGGCAUCAUACUGACACUGAGGUUCGAAAGCGUGGGUAGCAAACA
RNAcentral lists this ribosomal RNA (427 nucleotides) under uncultured bacterium. Its description in RNAcentral is "partial 16S ribosomal RNA". It matches the Rfam family "Bacterial small subunit ribosomal RNA", at positions 355 to 774 of the family's 1533-position model. The record is from RNAcentral.